GAUGAACGCUAGCGGCAGGCCUAAUACAUGCAAGUCGAACGGUAAGUAUGAUAGCAAUAUUGUACCAAGAGUGACGUACGGGUGCGUAACACGUACGCAACCUACCCUUUACAGAUGGACUAGCUCGGGGAAACUCGAUUAACCCGUCAUAAUAUAAUUGAAUGGCAUCAUUUGGUUAUUAAAUCUACGGAGGUAAAGGAUGGGCAUGCGUCUGAUUAGUUA
RNAcentral lists this ribosomal RNA (222 nucleotides) under uncultured bacterium. RNAcentral's name for it is "partial 16S ribosomal RNA". It matches the Rfam family "Bacterial small subunit ribosomal RNA", at positions 28 to 247 of the family's 1533-position model. The record is from RNAcentral.